AGAGUUUGAUCCUGGCUCAGAAUGAACGCUGGCGGCGUGCCUAACACAUGCAAGUCGGAUGUGCCCGGUAACGGGUGCAUGGCAGACGGGUGAGUAACGCGUGGGGAACCUACCUCUUCGUGGGGAAUAACGCUCCGAAAGGAGUGGUAAUACCGCAUGAGAUCCACGACUGGGAUGUUGUGGAUGAAAGCUGGGGAUCGAAAGACCUAGCGCGAGGAGAGGGUCCUGCGUCUGAUUAGCUAGUUGGUGGGGUAAUGGCCUACCAAGGCGACGAUCAGUAGCCGGCCUGAGAGGGUGAUCGGCCACACUGGAACUGAGACACGGUCCAGACUCCUACGGGAGGCAGCAGUGGGGAAUUUUGCGCAAUGGGCGAAAGCCUGACGCAGCAACGCCGCGUGGGUGAUGAAGGUCUUCGGAUUGUAAAACCCUGUCGUCGGGGACGAAGGUUGGGAGGUUAAUAGCCUCUUUGCUUGACGGUACCCGGAGAGGAAGCCCCGGCUAACUCUGUGCCAGCAGCCGCGGUAAUACAGAGGGGGCAAGCGUUAUUCGGAAUUAUUGGGCGUAAAGGGCGCGUAGGCGGUGGCAUAAGUGAGAUGUGUAAUCCCCGAGCUCAACUUGGGAACUGCAUCUCAGACUGUGGCGCUAGAGUGCUGGAGAGGGUGGUGGAAUUCCUCGUGUAGCGGUGAAAUGCGUAGAGAUGAGGAGGAACACCAGUGGCGAAGGCGGCCACCUGGACAGUAACUGACGCUGAGGCGCGAAAGUGUGGGUAGCAAACAGGAUUAGAUACCCUGGUAGUCC
This 798-nucleotide ribosomal RNA is filed under the name uncultured bacterium. RNAcentral describes it as "bacterial SSU rRNA". It matches the Rfam family "Bacterial small subunit ribosomal RNA", at positions 8 to 796 of the family's 1533-position model. The record is from RNAcentral.